GUGGGGAAUAUUGGACAAUGGGCGAAAGCCUGAUCCAGCCAUGCCGCGUGUGUGAAGAAGGCCUUUUGGUUGUAAAGCACUUUAAGCGAGGAGGAGGCUACCGAGAUUAAUACUCUUGGAUAGUGGACGUUACUCGCAGAAUAAGCACCGGCUAACUCUGUGCCAGCAGCCGCGGUAAUACAGAGGGUGCGAGCGUUAAUCGGAUUUACUGGGCGUAAAGCGUGCGUAGGCGGCUUUUUAAGUCGGAUGUGAAAUCCCUGAGCUUAACUUAGGAAUUGCAUUCGAUACUGGGAAGCUAGAGUAUGGGAGAGGAUGGUAGAAUUCCAGGUGUAGCGGUGAAAUGCGUAGAGAUCUGGAGGAAUACCGAUGGCGAAGGCAGCCAUCUGGCCUAAUACUGACGCUGAGGUACGAAAGCAUGGGGAGCAAACAGGAUUAGAUACCCCGGUAGUCC
Molecule: ribosomal RNA, 451 nt
Filed under: uncultured bacterium
Lineage: Bacteria
Description: partial 16S ribosomal RNA
Rfam family: Bacterial small subunit ribosomal RNA
Source: RNAcentral